This 228-nucleotide ribosomal RNA is filed under the name uncultured bacterium. RNAcentral describes it as "partial 16S ribosomal RNA". It matches the Rfam family "Bacterial small subunit ribosomal RNA", at positions 568 to 796 of the family's 1533-position model. The record is from RNAcentral.
UGCGCAGGCGGCUUAUUAAGUCAGUGGUGAAAUCUCUCGGCUCAACCGAGAAACUGCCAUUGAAACUGAUAAGCUUGAGUGUAGUUGUAGUAGGCGGAAUACAGCAUGUAGCGGUGAAAUGCUUAGAUAUGCUAUAGAACACCGAUCGCGAAGGCAGCUUACUAAACUAUCACUGACGCUCAUGCACGAAAGCGAGGGAGCAAACAGGAUUAGAUACCCUGGUAGUCC